GAUGAACGCUGGCGGCGUGCCUAAUACAUGCAAGUCGAGCGGACGGACGUGCUUCUUGCUGCUCUGUUGUUAGCGUCGGACGGCUGAGUAGCGCGUAACUCACCUACCUAUAAGCCUCGAAUAACUUAGAAGCACCGUAGAUAGUACCGGAUACUAUUUUGAACCGCAUGGUUCAAACGUGAGAGACGAACUUUCUUUCAGUUGUUGAUGGUUCGGCGCUGCCUUAGCUAGUUGUUAGGGUAACGGCUUCCCACGGCAACGAUGCAUAGCCGACCUGAGAGGGUGAUGGGCGACGGUGGAACUGAGACACGGUCCCGACUCCGACGGGAGGCAGAAGUAGGGAAGGGGACGAAUGGGGCGUAAGCCUGAGGGAGCAGCGCCGCGUGAGUGAGGAAGGUCUUCGGAUCGGAAAUCUCUGUUAUUAGCGAAGACCAUAUGUGUAAGUAACUGUGCACAUCGUGACGGUAGCGAAACAGAAAGCCCCGGCUAACUACGUG
Molecule: ribosomal RNA, 497 nt
Filed under: uncultured bacterium
Lineage: Bacteria
Description: partial 16S ribosomal RNA
Rfam family: Bacterial small subunit ribosomal RNA
Source: RNAcentral